RNAcentral lists this ribosomal RNA (297 nucleotides) under Staphylococcus aureus. RNAcentral's name for it is "partial 23S ribosomal RNA". It matches the Rfam family "Bacterial large subunit ribosomal RNA", at positions 1843 to 2139 of the family's 2925-position model. The record is from RNAcentral. Lineage: Bacteria; Bacillati; Bacillota; Bacilli; Caryophanales; Staphylococcaceae.
GUAUAGGGGCUGACGCCUGCCCGGUGCUGGAAGGUUAAGAGGAGUGGUUAGCUUCUGCGAAGCUACGAAUCGAAGCCCCAGUAAACGGCGGCCGUAACUAUAACGGUCCUAAGGUAGCGAAAUUCCUUGUCGGGUAAGUUCCGACCCGCACGAAAGGCGUAACGAUUUGGGCACAGUCUCAACGAGAGACUCGGUGAAAUCAUAGUACCUGUGAAGAUGCAGGUUACCCGCGACAGGACGGAAAGACCCCGUGGAGCUUUACUGUAGCCUGAUAUUGAAAUUCGGCACAGCUUGUAC